RNAcentral lists this ribosomal RNA (808 nucleotides) under uncultured fungus. RNAcentral describes it as "bacterial SSU rRNA". It matches the Rfam family "Eukaryotic small subunit ribosomal RNA", at positions 564 to 1375 of the family's 1831-position model. The record is from RNAcentral. Lineage: Eukaryota; Fungi.
GAGGCAGCAGCCGUGCUAAUUCCAGCUCCAAUAGCGAAUAUUAAAGUUGUUGCAGUUAAAAAGCUCGAAGUUGAACCUUGAGCCUGGAUGGCCGGGCCGCCUCACCGCGUGUACUGGUCCGGCCGGGCCUUUCCUUCUGGGGAACCUCAUGCCCUUCACUGGGCGUGUUGGGGAACCAGGACUUUUACUUUGAAAAAAUUAGAGUGUUCAAAGCAGGCCUUUGCUCGAAUACAUUAGCAUGGAAUAAUAGAAUAGGACGUGAGGUUCUAUUUUGUUGGUUUCUAGGACCGCCGUAAUGAUUAAUAGGGAUAGUCGGGGGCAUCAGUAUUCAAUCGUCAGAGGUGCAAUUCUUGGAUUGAUUGAAGACUAACUACUGCGAAAGCAUUUGCCAAGGAUGUUUUCAUUAAUCAGUAAACGAAAGUUAGGGGAUCAAAGACGAUCAGAUACCGUCGUAGUCUUAACCAUAAACUAUGCCGACUAGGGAUCGCACGGUGUUUCGUAUUUUUGACCCGCUCGGCACCUUACGAGAAAUCAAAGUUUUUUGUCUUUCUGGUGUCUAGUAUGGUCGCGAGGCUGAAACUUAAAAAAAAUUGACGGAAAGCGCACCGCCAGGGCGUGGAGCCUGCGGCUUAAUUUGACUCAGCACGCGGAACUCACCCCGGCCAGACACACUAUGAAUGAAAAGAAUCGACAGCUCCUUCUUUCUCUUGUGUGGGGGGGCAUGACGACAUAUUUAGCUCGAGGGCUUGGUUGCGUAAUGCUCACAGACAAUAACUUAAUUCACUAAUAUCUAGCCCCGCUAUAGGGA